UAAUUGAAGAGUUUGAUCAUGGCUCAGAUUGAACGCUGGCGGCAGGCCUAACACAUGCAAGUCGAGCGGCAGCACAAGGGAGUUUACUCCUGAGGUGGCGAGCGGCGGACGGGUGAGUAAUGCCUAGGGAUCUGCCCAGUCGAGGGGGAUAACAGUUGGAAACGACUGCUAAUACCGCAUACGCCCUACGGGGGAAAGAGGGGGACCUUCGGGCCUCUCGCGAUUGGAUGAACCUAGGUGGGAUUAGCUAGUUGGUGAGGUAAUGGCUCACCAAGGCGACGAUCCCUAGCUGUUC
This 295-nucleotide ribosomal RNA is filed under the name Shewanella xiamenensis. Its description in RNAcentral is "partial 16S ribosomal RNA". It matches the Rfam family "Bacterial small subunit ribosomal RNA", at positions 1 to 292 of the family's 1533-position model. The record is from RNAcentral. Lineage: Bacteria; Pseudomonadati; Pseudomonadota; Gammaproteobacteria; Alteromonadales; Shewanellaceae.